CCAUUCAAGAUUCUUGAGUUCUCUACAUUUUGUGUCGCAGACAUCUUGGGGGCUGGCUCCGAGAGAAGCGCUUGUGCCCCAGUGACGCCACUGACGCCAGUGCCUCGGUGACCUACAGCACCCCCUCUAAACACACACACACACACACACACACACUCACAUACUUACAUAGUAUAUGAAAAAGCUUAUACAGAACUUUACUUUAUGUACAUACACUUUUUUAUGGCCCCAUGAUACGCGUAUAGAAACGAUUUUGGGGCCGAGCAGAAAGCGAGUUGGAGUCUGAUGGACUGGCAUUCGCCAAUCUUGAUCCGUUGGCAUUAGACGCGUUCUGUUGUGCCACCGAGAUGGUGUUACUUCUACGAGUGUAUAGGAAUGUGCUGAUUGUGGUUGGUGGGGGAAAGAGGAGUGUGCAUGGCAUGUGUGUGUGUGUGAGUGUGUGUGUGUGCCCGCGUUUUUUUCUUAUCAGUUGUGCUGAUAAACCAGUUCCUGGAGAAUCUCAAUCUGGACCACGUAAGUAACGAUUUAAAGUCGAAAUUCCAUAGCUGGGGUGACAGAUGCCCAGAUGUCUCUCGGGGGUAACCAGAUCCCAUUAAAUGGUAAUAGCUAUUGGCUAUAUAAUUGCAUAAAAUUACAGAAACCUAUAGACUCUUAGCUGACUCUCUAAUUAGUCACUAAUACUAUGUGGGGAGCAGCUCAAGGUCUACGGGUUUCUGUUCCCAGACCCCCUACCCACCUCAUCUUCCCAGCUGAUGGAUUAGAAUUUUUAAGUUCAAAAGCUUAGCUUCCAAGGGGUAUUGGGAGAUCUCUGGGAGAUCUCCUGGAAGCUCCUCCUUCCAUUUGCCUUUAUAUCUUAUAAUUGAAAGAUUGUUUCGAAAGAGUUUGGGGGAAGAACUUAAAGAUUCGUGCCUGGAGCGCAUUAACUUUUAACCCAAAAAAAAAAAAUCUACAAAAAAACUCUACAAAAACAGAUUUUCUACAAAAAAGAGAGUCGAAAAUUAAACGAAAUCACAUGCAACACACGUCUCAGGUGGGCCAGAGCGAGAUGGCCAGAGAUCAAAGCAAAGAAGAGGUAGCUUUCUUUUCUGUUUUUAUUUGCUUCAUGGGGGGAUUUGUGGCUUUUUUUUUCUGAACAUAAAACAUAAAACGCAAUAAAAAAAAGAAACAAACAUUGUGGCGUCAUCGCCGAAAAUUUGUUCGCUUUCGAACUGGUUUUUUUUUUUGGUCUCUUUUGAUGUCGUCAUCAUCGCGAAGGCCCAAAAAAUUGAUGCAAUUUCCGCCCACCUUUCGGGCCCCCUCCAUCUACCCCCCUCCUCCUGGCCAGCGACGCCGCUGUUCCCGUUGCUUGGCAACUGCAGUAGAAAAAAAAAAAAAAGAAAGAGGAAGAUUCGCGCGCCAAUAACCUAGUUUUCUGUUUCUAGUUUGUACUUGCACACAAAGCGUUGCCACUAUGUUCGUGAGUUUGUGCAAUAAAAAAGAAGAAGAAGAAGUAAAAAAAGCUACAAAUAAUGUGCAUGUAUGUUCAUGUUUUUUUCUUAUGUAUGUAUGUGUAUGUAUGUAGUUGGUAAAUAGUUAGUGAUGACACACUUCUUCACACAUGUUAGCAGAGGAAAUAAACAUUACAGCGCAAUAACUAAUCAAACUAACCCACUUUCUAUACUAUAUUGUAGUAGCCAGCAUGCAGAUUUCUAAUUAGAUUCGAGUCGAGUUUAUCUCUUGUAAUUUAUCUGGGCUGGGGCAUAAAGUUGGCGACUUUACAUGGUUACGUGCCUGCGCUGCAAAACCAUUGCGUUUCAAUGGAAAAACAUCGAGAGGCGGAAAAUUUCAACCCAAAAGCCCGCUACAUGGCGACAAAGCGACAAGCUUCAAUGGAAAACGAACAAGAAAAAGUGACCAGCACUUGAAUGUGUGUCAGCGACAAGGCAGCAGCAGCAAGCAGCAGCAGCGGCGGCAAAGCUACAAAAAGCUUCGUAUCGCGUUCGUCGCUCGCACUCGUCGCGUUCGUAUAGCGCGUACCCUGUCGCUCGCGCGCGCGAACCUCCGCAGUCGACGACUCGGCCAGGGGCGCCGGAGUUCGGUGGAAGCACUUGGGCCCGAUUUUUCCGUUCUGCGUUUCAUUCGCCGCUCGACUGGCGGAGAGUGUGGUUCGUUUAGCGUAGAGCUGGGAAAACAUCGAUAGUUGGCAUAUUCGAGGUUUUCGAGGUUUUUCAUACAAAUAUUCGAUAGUAUCGAUAGUAUCGAACUAAAAAAAUUAUAAAUCAAGUUUAAGUUGCAUUUAGAGUAAAUAAUAAAAAAACUUCUUAAAGGCCAUUCUUUAUUCGAAUAACAAAACAUAACAAAAUCUCAUAAUCAUAUGAAGUCGCUUAUAACAAAGGAAGAAAUGAAAUAAUUCACAAAAGAUUCUUAUGAAUAGGUUUUGUUUCAUAAGGUUUUGUUUUGUUUGCAAGACGGCAAGUUGCAUGCACUGUAAUAAAGUUUCUUAUGAAGAUUCUUAUGAAUAGACGGCAAGUUGCAUGCACUGUAAUAGUUUCCGCUCGUUUUGUAAACUUUAUUACAGUGCAUGCAACUUGCCGUCUUGCCAUCUUGGGACUUUUUAAAGUGGUUCCACACUUUGGACUUCCCUAUUCGUUUCACCUGGUUUUCGUCCUCCUCCGACUUGCUCUUUGCACUUAUGCCUGUAAAAAGUUAUAUAUCAGAAAUUAGUUAUUGAGAAAGAGUCCAAAACAUGCUCAGAUAUGCACUAGUUUAGAUACCUACCUUUAUCGUAUUCGCCUUGCAAAAAUUUGUCCAUUUUCUCCGCCAACACCAAUAUUAACUUUCACGUGUAGAUCUCCGCAGUUGUUCGCCAAAAGUAAAGAUGUGCAAGCUUGCCACUAUCGUUUACUAUCGGCACUCAAACAUCGAUAGUGGUUCGCAAACCCAAAUAUUCGAUAUAUCGAUACUAUCGUGAGUGGCCGACCCAGCUCUAGUUUAGCGCUUGGCACAACUUGGUGAAAACUGAAAAAGAGAAAAAAAAAAACUAUAAACUGAAAACACAAAAACUCAUUUUUGAAAUUGAAACACAAAAACGGGAAAUCCAAAGGAGAGCAAACACUAUAAGAGAGAGAACGCUGUUGCUAACGUCGAAAAUAGUCGUUGAACAGUGGCGCGACGGUCGAUUUUGGUGGUGGUUUUUUCGGCAGUGAACUUUUCCUGUAACAAUAAAUCAUUUUGGAAUAGAAAUACCCAACCGGACUUCUGAAACAUAGAAUCUUAACGAAAAAAAAAAAAAAAUAAACUACACGCGGAUUACGUAAAAGAGCAGGAAUUUCAAGGAGAACCACGCGAAAAGAGGGAGACAGCAUCAGGAACUUGGCACGCGGACGCGCCGCUGGAUGACACAUUUCUUUUUUCCGAAUCAAUUACGCAACUUGCAAAUAGCUCCUCUGCCCUGCUGCCCCGCUGUUCCGUGUUUCUAAGGCCCUCUGGGCUUGUGCUUUUCAUUAUCGGAACGACAGACGGCAAGUUGGAGAGAAAAAAAAUAUUAAAAAAAAAAUCCCACAAAUACAUAUUUUUUCAACCAAAUUCGAGAGAAGACCAAGAGAGUGGGAGAGCGAGAGCGAGAGAGAGCCAAAAGCUCGGCCGACGUCAUAUUUUUUAUGGAACACACAGACGCGCGCGCGCACGCACACACACACAUACAGUUAGUCGCUUUCGUCGUCAAGUUUGCGUUUCCUUGGUUUCGAUGUGGCUGGCUUCGUUCAUUCGAUUUCCACCAUGAACCGGGAAGGUCUGUACGGACCGGGAGGAUGGUGGAAGAUUACCAAACGAACAAAUAAAAAAAAAUAAAUGUUGGCCGCGUUUUUUUCCCGCUCGCGUCUCGCGUGUUUUCGUCGUGGCUUGGUUUGCCCGUCCGUUUAGCCGCUCUCUCUCUCUCUUUCGCGCAAAAUCUAAUGGAAUUUUUUCGCCUGCUUGUGCAAUUGCUGGCCUAGCUGGCUAGCUGACUGGCCGCGCGAAUGCGAAUCGUGUGAUUAGUGGACUAGUUUUCAUUAACGUACUGCAACCUAUGUGGGAGCGAGACGGGGACUCACUGUGCUUAUUAAAUAGUCAGUCUUUUUCUCUCUCCUAUACAAAUUGCGGGCGUAUCAACAUGUCGACAACGUUAAUAAUAGUUCAUGUGCCUAUUCUUAAGCUGCCAUAUCUAAUAUAUAUAUAUAUAUUAUAGUAUGUAAUCGCCAGGAGAAAAAAAAAAAAUGAAAUUGAUAUGAAAAAUUGAAAUAAAUAAAUUCUUCUCCAUCUCUCUUCCCAUCAGCAGCCAUUCAACUGAAACCGUUCGUUGCGCCCUGGCUCAUGGCCUUUCUUUUCUUUUUUUCCAGUUCUCUCAUGACUUUAUUACACGUUUUAUCAUUCCACACGCAUCACUGGUGCUGCCACUGCCGCUGCCGCUGUUCUUCUGUCUCUAUCGCACACAUACACUUUGACCCAAGGCUCCCCCUCGAUGGGUUUUUGUUGUUCUCGCACGCAAAGUUAGUGGGGGUAGUGUGGGAGUGCGAGUGGGAGGGAGGGAGGUAGUUGGGGUGGUUAUAAAAGGGGAGAACCGUUACGACAGCGCGUGGUUGUUGGUGGACUUUUCUGUCUGUUGCCAAGAGUCGACGUUGUAGUCGCUGUCGCUGUCGCUGUCGACGUCGCUGAAUGAUGUGUUCUGUUUUAUGGACAAGAAUGAAACUGUACAAUAAGCACAGUACAGUGGGUAGAAAUACAACAAAAGCGAAACUUACGUAAACACGCACGACCGACCAACCGAUCGACUGUGCUAGUGUGUGUGCGUGUGAAUUAUGUUUCUAGUUUUUCGAAAAAAAAAAGGAGAAGUAGAAAAUCAAGUUUCUAUCGCCGGAAUGGACGGGUGGGGGUAUGAAUCAUAUUUCGAAGAACGAGACACUCGUAGACUUUCAAAUACAGCGCACAGAGAGACCCAACUUGAACAUAAACAAUCUCCACUAUUUGUCAUGGGUUUUUUUUUGUUAUUUUUUUCUUUUUGUCGCUGGCAUCCGUCAACCGACAUGACUAAGAGACUCAAAAACCCAAAAAAAAAAAUAUAUAUCUUUUCUAGAGAAAAGCUGCAAUUUAUUGCAAUUGCGCUGGUGGUGCAAUGCGAGCACUGAAAUUAUUUUCAAAAUAUUAUAUAAAUUGGCUUUUCUGCUAGGGGCUAGAGGGGUUGGACGGCUCGACUGUUAGGUUGUUCAGGUGUGCUCAUUACCUGAGGCAUUCAGUUGGAAAUUGUAUAUAUAUUUGCAUAGUGCUACGGAAGGGAGGGUGUUCCGAGAGGGAAAAAAACAUAUACCUAAAAUACAUACAAUUGCAUGUUUAACAAAAAAAUAUCUCUCUCGAUUAGAGAUAUUAUAUUUUUUAAACAAUGUCCGAAGUAAUUGCGUUCGCAGAACAAUUUUCUGAGUGGACCUUGGAAAUCCACACAAUAACUAUACCCCAUGUAUAAUUUAUUUUUAUUUGUAUUCUUUUUUUUUUUUUUUUUUGCAUUUUGUAACUUUGAAUUUGCGGUUCGGAGUCGAACUUUUGUAUCGCACAUUCCAUCUCCCUCGCUCUCACAGGGCUUUUCUAUCUAACAACUGCAGCAGCAGCAGCACCAGCAGCAGCUGACCUUGGAGCCGAGACAAAGGCGCUAACUCGCAAACAGAUCUUUAUGUACAUACUAUAUGUACCUACACUAUGUACAGUCCAAUUUACAUAUAUAUAUAUAAGACAUUGAAGCUUCUCUAAGCCUCUGUUUUUAAACUAGAGAGAUAUUACUUCCCAGGUUAUUAAAAAAAAACUGAGAGGGAAGGCAAUAAAUAUCAUUAUUUACAAAAAGAUUAGAAAUUAUCUUCAUGUGAAUAUUUCUUCAGUCAAUAUUUUCGAAGAAACAACAAUUCCCAGUAAGAGAAGAUAAUAAAUUCUAUUCUGGGUGUGGGCUUUUUACAUGUUUUUUCCCUUUUAACCUUUGAAAUCAUCGUAAUAAGUCGAUAGUUAAUAAAAAUACAAAAAAUAAUAAACUAUUGUUUCAAUGUGGGUUGUAGUGGUUACUCAUUAGCGGGUCGGGGUCUAGUCGGGUCCCUCCCAACCCCUUUCUCCGCUCGUAGUAAUCCGGAUUGUCGAGCUCAGAUGACGCCAUCUUGCAUUAGAACCAACCGAUAGUUUAGAGAUGGGGGAAAAUUGAGCUUAGCACUUGAUCUUUGGCCCUGGUUCUGUAAUUAUACUCGUGUCCUUCAGGUCUAGUCCCUCCCAACCCCUUUUUCCCCUCGUAAAAAUUUGGAUAGUCGAGCUCAGAUGACGCCAUCAUGCAUUUGAUGAUCUUUGAAAGCUAGUGUUAGAUCCAACCGAUAGUUUAGAGAUGGGGGAGAAUCGAGCUUAGCACUUGAUCUCUGGCCCCCGGUUCUGUAAUUAUAUUCCUGUCCUUCAGGCCCGUUGCAACGCUUUAUUUUCUGUUCUACUGCUCACAUCUUGGCAUUUAAUAAGAAGUUGGCCUUGAAGCGGCGAGUUUCAAAUUUGUGUGUGGCUUCAGAACUCACACACACACACACUACGAGUGUGUGCGAGAAAUGAGUUUGUGGCUUAGCUUUCAGUCUUUCGACGAUUGGAGCUUUCAGAUUUUUGGGUCUUUGAAGCCAUGGUUGUUGCAACAAGGUUGCCUUAAUCCAGGCACCAGCCUCAUUAUGCUCUGGACAUGUCGCCCCAAAUUAGAGGACACAUGUGGCACAUGUUUCGUGUUGUAAGUGCCACCGAUCCAACAUCGAUCCACGCUAAUUGCCAUUAAUCAGAGGCCUUCCAUCUGACAUCUCAUCUCAUACAUCUCUCCGGUUCAGCCAGCAAUUAUCAGGCUGCACUCUUGACCGACCAGCACCGCACUUGAAGAUCUCCCUGACUAAGUUAGCCGCAAGCCAGAUACCGCAACCACCCGACCCACUAUACACCCCGCCAGCUAUACCAUCCCACGACAGUGAACCACAUGACAUGCGAAGCGGUUCCAAUUUAUCGCCAGCGGCAGUACUUGCCAGAGAAUGCUUGCCAGUCAUUGGAAAAGCGAUUCAACAAAAUUUAAAACAAUUUAGCUUAUGUCACGUCUGUUCUCCGCCAAGAGGGUGGGAGGGGGGGUGGCCUGGGGGGCGGGGGCGGUGCUAGAAGAGUUUCCAACGCUUAGAACAAAGCGCCACAAAUUGUAUUGUGUCACGCUCGAUCUGUGGCCAUGUGAACCGACGGGGAUAUAAGCCACACACUUACUAUAUAUCAUCUACUAUAUAUCGGAUAUCUCGUAUAUACUCUUCAAAGUGUGUACUUUUACUCAUUCAUACCGAUAUGUACCACUCUGGUAUAUAGUCAUGUACAUGCUAUAUAUAAAUUAGUUCAUUUAGUUUGCCUGUUUUAAUUAUAA
Long non-coding RNA from Drosophila ananassae, 7402 nucleotides. RefSeq lists it as uncharacterized. The record is from RefSeq and is a predicted model, not a curated record. Lineage: Eukaryota; Metazoa; Arthropoda; Insecta; Diptera; Drosophilidae. The transcript is spliced from 2 exons.